This 1450-nucleotide long non-coding RNA is filed under the name Monodelphis domestica (gray short-tailed opossum). RNAcentral's name for it is "lncRNA (ENSMODG00000043963.1)". Lineage: Eukaryota; Metazoa; Chordata; Mammalia; Didelphimorphia; Didelphidae. The record is from RNAcentral.
AUGAGUGGGGGGGGGGAAGAGACAGAGAGGGAUGGAGAGAAAGAGAGAGAGAGAGAGAGAGGGAGACAGACAGAGGGGGAGAGACAGAGAGGGGGAUGGAGAGAAAGAGAGGGGGAUGGAAAGACAGACAGGGUGGAGAGAGGGGGGGGAGAGACAGAGAGGGGGAUGGAGAGAAAGAGAGAGAGGGGGAUGGAGAGAAAGACAGACAGGGUGGAGAGGGAGAGACAGAGAGACAGAGAGGGGGAUGGAGAGAAAGAUAGACAGGGUGGAGGGGGGGAGAGAGAGAGAGACAGACAGACAGACAGACAGAGAGAGACAGAGACAGAUGGGGGCAUCAUAGAGAAAGCUAAACAGAACAAAGACAGAAAUGGGGAGCAGCUGCUGAUGCCCCCACCCCCGGCCUCCUUUACUGGUCCGUCAUCCCCAUCCCUGUCCCUGGGCUCUCCCUAGCACCCUCCUCAUUGGUCACAAGAGCUCUCCCGAUGACAAUGGCCUCACAGAUUGAGCUCUCCUGGUAGUCAAUCCCCUACACCCAACCCAACCAGGACUCCUGGCCUCACCCUCCCUCACCCCCAGGCCUCAGUCUCCCCAGGUGGCCUUGUUUAGCAGCAGCCUUGGGGUGGCUCUUCCUUCUCUAAUCCACCUUUCACUCGGAAGGGAAGCCCUAGGAGCUUUCCUUACUCCCUGCCCUGAUUCCGUACAUCCCUCUCCUGAAGGGAAAUUCCCAGGAUUCCCUGUUGCCUCGGCACUGAGAGCCCCGGGUGUCCUGGUAAAUGGGUGGUUGGUGGCACAAAGGAUAGAGCCCCAGUCUGCAAUCUCGGAGACCUCUUCCAUUGUUCAAACCCCGCCUGAUGCCUGAACCACUUAAACUUGCUUGCCUCAGUUUCCUCAUCUGUCAAAUGAGCUGGAGAAGGAAAUGGCAAACCAGUCUGGCAGGAUCACAAAGAAUUAGACAAUGAAAAAUAACUGAAAAGCAGCCCUUUGAAACAAUUUUUUAAAAAAGUCAGCUGGGUAGCUCAGUGGAUGGAGAACCUAGAGACCGGAGGUCCUGGGUCCCAAUGUGGCCUCAGGCACUUUCCAGCUGGGUGACCCUGGGCAAGUCACUUGACCCCCCCAUUGCCUAGCCCUUGCUGCUCUUCUGCCUUGGAGCCAAUGUUCAGUACUGAUUCCAAGACUGAAGGUGAGGGGUUAAAAAAUAUCAACUAGGUGUAAACAAACCUUUAUCAGUCUGGAAGGAUCACACGGGCAGUUGGUACCAUUUAUGUUCCAUUCUGGUGGAUUUUACUUUUGUUUCUUCUUAAACCCUUCCUCACCUUCCAUCUUAGAGAGUCAAUACCGUGUAUUGGUUCCAAGGCAGAAGAGUGGUAAGGGGUAGCUGAUGAGGUUCAAGUGACCUGCCCAGGGUCACACACCUGGGAAGUGUCUGAGGUCACAUUUGAAUCCAGGACCU